Molecule: ribosomal RNA, 427 nt
Filed under: uncultured bacterium
Lineage: Bacteria
Description: SSU rRNA
Rfam family: Bacterial small subunit ribosomal RNA
Source: RNAcentral
AAUGGGCGCAGCCUGAUGCAGCGACGCCGCGUGCGGGAUGACGGCCUUCNGGUUGUAAACCGCUUUUGAUCGGGAGCAAGCCUUCGGGUGAGUGUACCUUUCGAAUAAGCACCGGCUAACUACGUGCCAGCAGCCGCGGUAAUACGUAGGGUGCAAGCGUUAUCCGGAAUUAUUGGGCGUAAAGGGCUCGUAGGCGGUUCGUCNCGUCCGGUGUGAAAGUCCAUCGCUUAACGGUGGAUCUGCGCCGGGUACGGGCGGGCUGGAGUGCGGUAGGGGAGACUGGAAUUCCCGGUGUAACGGUGGAAUGUGUAGAUAUCGGGAAGAACACCAAUGGCGAAGGCAGGUCUCUGGGCCGUCACUGACGCUGAGGAGCGAAAGCGUGGGGAGCGAACAGGAUUAGAUACCCUGGUAGUCCAAGGGCGAAUUC